This 506-nucleotide ribosomal RNA is filed under the name uncultured bacterium. RNAcentral describes it as "partial 16S ribosomal RNA". It matches the Rfam family "Bacterial small subunit ribosomal RNA", at positions 29 to 523 of the family's 1533-position model. The record is from RNAcentral.
AGUGAACGCUGGCGGUAGGCCUAACACAUGCAAGUCGAACGGCAGCACAGGAGAGCUUGCUCUCUGGGUGGCGAGUGGCGGACGGGUGAGGAAUACAUCGGAAUCUACUCUGUCGUGGGGGAUAACGUAGGGAAACUUACGCUAAUACCGCAUACGACCUACGGGUGAAAGCAGGGGACCUUCGGGCCUUGCGCGAUUGAAUGAGCCGAUGUCGGAUUAGCUAGCUGGCGGGGUAAAGGCCCACCAAGGCGACGAUCCGUAGCUGGUCUGAGAGGAUGACCAGCCACACUGGAACUGAGACACGGUCCAGACUCCUACGGGAGGCAGCAGUGGGGAAUAUUGGACAAUGGGCGCAAGCCUGAUCCAGCCAUACCGCGUGGGUGAAGAAGGCCUUCGGGUUGUAAAGCCCUUUUGUUGGGAAAGAAAUCCAGCUGGCUGAUACCCGGUUGGGAUGACGGUACCCAAAGAAUAAGCACCGGCUAACUUCGUGCCAGCCGCCGCAGUAA